RNAcentral lists this ribosomal RNA (900 nucleotides) under Escherichia coli. RNAcentral's name for it is "partial 23S ribosomal RNA". It matches the Rfam family "Bacterial large subunit ribosomal RNA", at positions 2031 to 2925 of the family's 2925-position model. Lineage: Bacteria; Pseudomonadati; Pseudomonadota; Gammaproteobacteria; Enterobacterales; Enterobacteriaceae. The record is from RNAcentral.
ACUCAGUGAAAUUGAACUCGCUGUGAAGAUGCAGUGUACCCGCGGCAAGACGGAAAGACCCCGUGAACCUUUACUAUAGCUUGACACUGAACAUUGAGCCUUGAUGUGUAGGAUAGGUGGGAGGCUUUGAAGUGUGGACGCCAGUCUGCAUGGAGCCGACCUUGAAAUACCACCCUUUAAUGUUUGAUGUUCUAACGUUGACCCGUGAUCCGGGUUGCGGACAGUGUCUGGUGGGUAGUUUGACUGGGGCGGUCUCCUCCUAAAGAGUAACGGAGGAGCACGAAGGUUGGCUAAUCCUGGUCGGACAUCAGGAGGUUAGUGCAAUGGCAUAAGCCAGCUUGACUGCGAGCGUGACGGCGCGAGCAGGUGCGAAAGCAGGUCAUAGUGAUCCGGUGGUUCUGAAUGGAAGGGCCAUCGCUCAACGGAUAAAAGGUACUCCGGGGAUAACAGGCUGAUACCGCCCAAGAGUUCAUAUCGACGGCGGUGUUUGGCACCUCGAUGUCGGCUCAUCACAUCCUGGGGCUGAAGUAGGUCCCAAGGGUAUGGCUGUUCGCCAUUUAAAGUGGUACGCGAGCUGGGUUUAGAACGUCGUGAGACAGUUCGGUCCCUAUCUGCCGUGGGCGCUGGAGAACUGAGGGGGGCUGCUCCUAGUACGAGAGGACCGGAGUGGACGCAUCACUGGUGUUCGGGUUGUCAUGCCAAUGGCACUGCCCGGUAGCUAAAUGCGGAAGAGAUAAGUGCUGAAAGCAUCUAAGCACGAAACUUGCCCCGAGAUGAGUUCUCCCUGACUCCUUGAGAGUCCUGAAGGAACGUUGAAGACGACGACGUUGAUAGGCCGGGUGUGUAAGCGCAGCGAUGCGUUGAGCUAACCGGUACUAAUGAACCGUGAGGCUUAACCUU